RNAcentral lists this transfer RNA (77 nucleotides) under Chloroflexota bacterium. RNAcentral describes it as "Chloroflexi bacterium (anaerobic digester metagenome) tRNA-Pro". It matches the Rfam family "tRNA". Rfam says of the family: Transfer RNA (tRNA) molecules are approximately 80 nucleotides in length. Lineage: Bacteria; Bacillati; Chloroflexota. The record is from RNAcentral.
CGGGGCGUAGCGCAGCCCGGAAGCGCGCACGGAUCGGGACCGUGAGGUCGGAGGUUCAAUUCCUCUCGCCCCGACCA